This 253-nucleotide ribosomal RNA is filed under the name uncultured bacterium. RNAcentral describes it as "partial 16S ribosomal RNA". It matches the Rfam family "Bacterial small subunit ribosomal RNA", at positions 524 to 776 of the family's 1533-position model. The record is from RNAcentral.
UACGGAGGGUGCGAGCGUUAAUCGGAAUUACUGGGCGUAAAGCGCACGCAGGCGGUUUGUUAAGCUAGAUGUGAAAGCCCCGGGCUCAACCUGGGAUGGUCAUUUAGAACUGGCAGACUAGAGUCUUGGAGAGGGGAGUGGAAUUCCAGGUGUAGCGGUGAAAUGCGUAGAUAUCUGGAGGAACAUCAGUGGCGAAGGCGACUCCCUGGCCAGAGACUGACGCUCAUGUGCGAAAGUGUGGGUAGCGAACAGG